This 594-nucleotide ribosomal RNA is filed under the name uncultured bacterium. RNAcentral describes it as "bacterial SSU rRNA". It matches the Rfam family "Bacterial small subunit ribosomal RNA", at positions 338 to 945 of the family's 1533-position model. The record is from RNAcentral.
CCUACGGGAGGCAGCAGUGGGGAAUUUUCCGCAAUGGGCGAAAGCCUGACGGAGCAACGCCGCGUGAGGGAUGAAGGCCUCUGGGCUGUAAACCUCUUUUAUCAAGGAAGAAGAUCUGACGGUACUUGAUGAAUAAGCCACGGCUAAUUCCGUGCCAGCAGCCGCGGUAAUACGGGAGUGGCAAGCGUUAUCCGGAAUUAUUGGGCGUAAAGCGUCCGCAGGCGGUCUUGUAAGUCUGUCGUUAAAGCGUGGAGCUCAACUCCAUUUCGGCGGUGGAAACUACAAGACUAGAGUGUGGUAGGGGCAGAGGGAAUUCCCGGUGUAGCGGUGAAAUGCGUAGAUAUCGGGAAGAACACCAGUGGCGAAGGCGCUCUGCUGGGCCAUAACUGACGCUCAUGGACGAAAGCUAGGGGAGCGAAAGGGAUUAGAUACCCCUGUAGUCCUAGCCGUAAACGAUGAACACUAGGUGUCGGGGGAAUCGACCCCCUCGGUGUCGUAGCUAACGCGUUAAGUGUUCCGCCUGGGGAGUACGCACGCAAGUGUGAAACUCAAAGGAAUUGACGGCNGAGAGNGCGACGCGACGACGAGGGAGAG